RNAcentral lists this ribosomal RNA (403 nucleotides) under Bacteroidota bacterium. RNAcentral describes it as "Bacteroidetes bacterium partial 16S ribosomal RNA". It matches the Rfam family "Bacterial small subunit ribosomal RNA", at positions 355 to 776 of the family's 1533-position model. The record is from RNAcentral. Lineage: Bacteria; Pseudomonadati; Bacteroidota.
UGGGGAAUAUUGCACAAUGGGGGAAACCCUGAUGCAGCGACGCCGCGUGAACGAAGAAGGUAUUCGUAUCGUAAAGUUCUGUCCUAUGGGAAGAUAAUGACAGUACCAUAGAAGAAAGCUCCGGCUAAAUACGUGCCAGCAGCCGCGGUAAUACGUAUGGAGCGAGCGUUGUCCGGAAUUAUUGGGCGUAAAGGGUACGCAGGCGGUUUAAUAAGUCGAAUGUUAAAGAUCGGGGCUCAACCCCGUAAAGCAUUGGAAACUGAUAAACUUGAGUGCAGAAGAGGAAAGUGGAAUUCCAUGUGUAGCGGUGAAAUGCGCAGAGAUAUGGAGGAACACCAGUGGCGAAGGCGACUUUCUGGUCUGUAACUGACGCUGAUGUGCGAAAGCGUGGGGAUCAAACAGG